RNAcentral lists this ribosomal RNA (253 nucleotides) under uncultured bacterium. Its description in RNAcentral is "partial 16S ribosomal RNA". It matches the Rfam family "Bacterial small subunit ribosomal RNA", at positions 524 to 776 of the family's 1533-position model. The record is from RNAcentral.
UACGGGGGGGGCAAGCGUUGUUCGGAAUUACUGGGCGUAAAGGGCUCGUAGGCGGCCAACUAAGUCGGACGUGAAAUCCCCAGGCUCAACCUGGGAACUGCGUCCGAUACUGGAUGGCUUGAAUUCGGGAGAGGGAUGCAGAAUUCCAGGUGUAGCGGUGAAAUGCGUAGAUAUCUGGAGGAAUACCAAUGGCGAAGGCAGCUCACUGGGACGGUAUUGACGCUGAGACGCGAAAGCGUGGGGAGCAAACAGG